This is a long non-coding RNA of Pungitius pungitius (ninespine stickleback), 917 nucleotides long. RefSeq lists it as uncharacterized. Lineage: Eukaryota; Metazoa; Chordata; Actinopteri; Perciformes; Gasterosteidae. The record is from RefSeq and is a predicted model, not a curated record. The transcript has 3 exons.
AUUAAACACAUCCCUAAUGAUGACGUCUACUGCACACAUGAGUUUUCUUGUCUCUCGUGGUCUCUGGGUGAGCUUCACUUCCUGUCCUGUCCUGUGAUUGCCUGAGUGUUCCCACCUGUGUCCAAUCACCUGCACCUCCCUUGUGUAUUUAAGCCCCGUGUGCCUGUUGUCCUUGGUCGCGUCAUUGUCAAUGUUACCCAUCGUUGGAGCACGUCCUGCCCUGGUUUGAAUAAAGAGCACAUUUUUCGAGAAGCCUGCGUUUGAGUCCUUCCUCCUUCCGCCUGCAACCUGCUCCAGCACCCCAUCCUGACACUCUGAUCCUUAACUCUCGCGUUACUGGACGACGAAGGGAACAAAAUUUCCAUUGAGAUCGCCAUCAUGUUGAAGCUGGCGGCCAAAAAUAAAAAGGAGUAUGUGAGGAACUACAUCGGAGGAAGUCCAGUGAUGAGCUACGGGACCCCAAUUCUCCAAAAUAGGAUUACUGAAUAAAUACAUUCGUGUAUGAUCUAAACCAAAUGAAUUCUUCUUUUCUUUAGACCACAAAGAUUAAUUAAUCUGUUCUUUAUUAUUACUUUUUGACCUAUGUUAAGCUACAGUGUUCUUGAGUUAAUGAGUUUGAAUAUAAAUGACACAUGGGAGUUUGAUUGCUUUUCAACUAAUAUUUUAAUCCUGAUUUAAAGUGUUCAUUCAAGUAUAUUAUCGUGGUUAACAUGAUCAUUUUCAUUAGAAUUAAGUCAGCCAUUUAAAAGCACAUACUAAUUCUAUUCAUUACAAAUAAACAAACUUUAUUUAUAUGAUUCAGGCACAAACAAUAAAAAGAGAACUUGGGGUGAAGAUGUCGCUGCUGAAGCAUUUUAAUCACUAUUUCAAUCAUGUUGUCUUUCAGAGAAGAGAGAAAAAUUGAUCCUAAAAUGUAA